RNAcentral lists this ribosomal RNA (289 nucleotides) under uncultured gamma proteobacterium DCM-ATT-7. RNAcentral's name for it is "partial 16S ribosomal RNA". It matches the Rfam family "Bacterial small subunit ribosomal RNA", at positions 8 to 301 of the family's 1533-position model. The record is from RNAcentral. Lineage: Bacteria; Pseudomonadati; Pseudomonadota; Gammaproteobacteria.
AGAGUUUGAUCAUGGCUCAGAUUGAACGCUGGCGGCAGGCCUAACACAUGCAAGUCGAACGGUAGCAGGAAGUGCUUGCACUUUGCUGACCAGUGGCGGACGGGUGAGUAAUGCUUGGGAACUUGCCUUUGCGAGGGGGAUAACAGUUGGAAACGACUGCUAAUACCGCAUAAUGUCUACGGACCAAACGGGGCUUAGGCUUCGGCGCAGAGAGAGGCCCAAGUGAGACUAGCUAUUUGGUGGGGUAAAGGCUCACCAAGGCGACAAUCUCUAGCUGUUCUGAGAGGAA